This 398-nucleotide unclassified non-coding RNA is filed under the name Zea mays. Its description in RNAcentral is "misc RNA Zm00001eb081240". The record is from RNAcentral. Lineage: Eukaryota; Viridiplantae; Streptophyta; Magnoliopsida; Poales; Poaceae.
CGUCAGUCACCAGCUUCUCCAGGUUGGCGUACGAGCGCCCGCCGGGCCGCGUCGCGCGCACGGCGGUCUCCCGCCACUCCACCGCGCGGCGACGCAUCUCCUUCCCUUUCUCCCCGCCCAUGGCCUCCCGUAUGGCCGUAUCCUCUCCUCCACGGCCUCCCGCCGCACGUCGUGGCCGACCUCCACGCCCACGCCGCGCCCCACUCCGCGCACGUGUACCGGCAGUUGGUCUGCUGCUCCGCGAAGAAAGGCCAGCACAGCAUUGGCACCCCGGCGCAGAGGCUCUCCAGCGUCGAGUUCCACCCAGAGUGCGUCAGGAACACGCCCACCGCCUGGUGACGCAGCACCGCGUCCUGCGCGCACCAGUUCGCCAGCAGGCCGCGCCCCUCGAUCGCCUC